RNAcentral lists this ribosomal RNA (548 nucleotides) under Hanseniaspora uvarum. RNAcentral describes it as "partial large subunit ribosomal RNA". It matches the Rfam family "Eukaryotic large subunit ribosomal RNA", at positions 67 to 629 of the family's 3401-position model. Lineage: Eukaryota; Fungi; Ascomycota; Saccharomycetes; Saccharomycodales; Saccharomycodaceae. The record is from RNAcentral.
AACUGGGAUUACCUUAGUAACGGCGAGUGAAGCGGUAAAAGCUCAAAUUUGAAAUCUGGUACUUUCAGUGCCCGAGUUGUAAUUUGUAGAAUUUGUCUUUGAUUAGGUCCUUGUCUAUGUUCCUUGGAACAGGACGUCAUAGAGGGUGAGAAUCCCGUUUGGCGAGGAUACCUUUUCUCUGUAAGACUUUUUCGAAGAGUCGAGUUGUUUGGGAAUGCAGCUCAAAGUGGGUGGUAAAUUCCAUCUAAAGCUAAAUAUUGGCGAGAGACCGAUAGCGAACAAGUACAGUGAUGGAAAGAUGAAAAGAACUUUGAAAAGAGAGUGAAAAAGUACGUGAAAUUGUUGAAAGGGAAGGGCAUUUGAUCAGACAUGGUGUUUUUUGCAUGCACUCGCCUCUCGUGGGCUUGGGCCUCUCAAAAAUUUCACUGGGCCAACAUCAAUUCUGGCAGCAGGAUAAAUCAUUAAGAAUGUAGCUACUUCGGUAGUGUUAUAGCUUUUUGGAAUACUGUUAGCCGGGAUUGAGGACUGCGCUUCGGCAAGGAUGUUGG